GUGAACGCUGGCGGUAGGCCUAACACCUGCCAGUCGAACGGCAGCACAGUAAGAGCUUGCUCUUACGGGUGGCGAGUGGCGGACGGGUGAGGAAUACAUCGGAAUCUACUUUUUCGUGGGGGAUAACGUAGGGAAACUUACGCUAAUACCGCAUACGACCUACGGGUGAAAGCAGGGGAUCUUCGGACCUUGCGCGAUUGAAUGAGCCGAUGUCGGAUUAGCUAGUUGGCGGGGUAAAGGCCCACCAAGGCGACGAUCCGUAGCUGGUCUGAGAGGAUGAUCAGCCACACUGGAACUGAGACACGGUCCAGACUCCUACGGGAGGCAGCAGUGGGGAAUAUUGGACAAUGGGCGCAAGCCUGAUCCAGCCAUGCCGCGUGGGUGAAGAAGGCCUUCGGGUUGUAAAGCCCUUUUGUUGGGAAAGAAAAGCAGCAGGUUAAUACCCCGCUGUUCUGACGGUACCCAAAGAAUAAGCACCGGCUAACUUCGUG
RNAcentral lists this ribosomal RNA (491 nucleotides) under uncultured bacterium. RNAcentral's name for it is "partial 16S ribosomal RNA". It matches the Rfam family "Bacterial small subunit ribosomal RNA", at positions 29 to 507 of the family's 1533-position model. The record is from RNAcentral.